RNAcentral lists this ribosomal RNA (240 nucleotides) under uncultured bacterium. RNAcentral describes it as "partial 16S ribosomal RNA". It matches the Rfam family "Bacterial small subunit ribosomal RNA", at positions 29 to 248 of the family's 1533-position model. The record is from RNAcentral.
AAUGAACGCUGGCGGCGUGGUUAAGACAUGCAAGUCGAACGGUUUUUCAGGUGUAGCAAUACAUUUAAAAGACAAGUGGCGAACGGGUGCGUAACACGUGAACAAUCUACCUUCAAAUGGGGAAUAGCUCGCCGAAAGGCGAAUUAAUACCGCAUAUGGUUGCCUCUCGCAUGAGAGGCAUACCAAAGUCAGGGACCGCAAGGCCUGACGUUAGAAGAGGAGUUCGCGGCCAUCAGCUAG